GCACAGGUGAGCUCCUCUUGUUCCGUAUGACCUUGUACAUCAGCUGCUUCUCUCCUGCUGCAUCUGUCCAUCCUUGUACGUAUGAUAAGCUACGUGGCUUGGUCUGUGAUGGAAAUACUCAUUUGCACUGCUUUUAUUCAGCUUUGUGUUUGAUUUUAAAUGGGUCUCUGUUGAAU
Molecule: non-coding RNA, 176 nt
Organism: Triticum aestivum (bread wheat)
Lineage: Eukaryota; Viridiplantae; Streptophyta; Magnoliopsida; Poales; Poaceae
Source: Rfam